This 1287-nucleotide long non-coding RNA is filed under the name Vitis vinifera (wine grape). RNAcentral's name for it is "long non-coding RNA (VVIN_LNC003203)". The record is from RNAcentral. Lineage: Eukaryota; Viridiplantae; Streptophyta; Magnoliopsida; Vitales; Vitaceae.
ACCUAAAGCGCAUCUAAGUGAAAUCAAAUCUAAACUUGAAUGACAACCAAGGUCACAAUGAGGAGUCAAAUCAAAGUCUCCAAGUGGUUUAGAAAAGAUAAGCUACAUGAGUAGUAAUGGGUCACCAAGGAAUUACUGUAAAGUACCGAACAAACACCUAACAGACAAAAUGGAGGGUCUACACUAAUGCAUCUAUUUUCCUUAUUCAUUAUUUAUAUAGAUGGUUAGGUGAGGUGAAUAUUUCGAUACCCAUUUCAUUUAUUUAUUUAUGAAAAUUUAAAAUAAAAAUAAAUUUAUAAAUUUUGUUGAAAUUACAUAUGGAUUAAAAAAUAUUUUUUAUUUAUUGUUUUGAUAUUUUACUUAUUUAUCAAUAAGUUUAUCUUUUUAAUAUUUUAAAAUUAUAAGAUUUAAUAUAUAUAUAUAAAGUAUAUAAAUAUAAUUAAAAGUAAAGGUGGGAGAAUCUAUUUAAUUUGAUUCAUGUGAUACAUAUGAAAAAAUUAAUGUGAUAAAUAUAUUUAUUACUCAUCCAUAAAGCAAAAGUAAAAUUCUAACUUUAUUACUUAAACUUUUACAAAAAUUGAUAAUUUAAUAUAAUGUCAAAACUUGGUUUGAUCGGAGUUUAUGGGUUUGAGACAUCUCUAUGUAAUUUAUAUGUUUGUUUCUCCAAUUUGUAAUUUUAUGAUACCUUUCCAUGUGUGGAUGCAAAUAUAGGAUUGCAUGCCCUCAUGUGAGAUUAGUAGUUCAACAAUAUGAUUAUAUUUGAUUUUUUAUUUUAUUAUAACAAACAAAAAGGUUCAAAGAAAUUAAUUUAAGUAUUUUGUUUUUUAAUUGUUUGAAUUAAAUUUAUAUAAUUUAUUAUCUAUAUUGAUUUCAAAUAUUGAAUGAUCUACACGUCUCAAGAACAAUAUGGUCGUAAAUUACUAAUGUUUUGCUUUUAUCUGCAUGGUGCUUUCAUCUCUCUGAUUCACUCACAUGAUUCCAUCCAUUUAGUAGGCGAAACUCAUCAUUGUUUUGGUUUCCUCCUUCUACAGGAUGAUCCUUCCACAGAAGAAAAUCUAAAGCGCACAAUCUCUCGAACUCCUAUUUGCCGCAUGGGAGAGCUUGAUGAGGUUUCAUCAUUGGUGGCAUUCAUUUGCUUCCCUACUGCUUCAUAUAUCACAGGACAAGUGAUAUGUGUUGAUGGUGGAUAUUUAGUGACUGGCUUCUAGUUCUACCCUACAUGCUCAAAACUAUAAUUGAAUAAAGUCUCCAGAAAGAUAUUUGGAGCCAGUUGUUGCUAUUGCAAUC